Molecule: ribosomal RNA, 433 nt
Filed under: uncultured bacterium
Lineage: Bacteria
Description: partial 16S ribosomal RNA
Rfam family: Bacterial small subunit ribosomal RNA
Source: RNAcentral
AACGAACGCUGGCGGCAUGCCUAACACAUGCAAGUCGAACGAGCCCUUCGGGUCUAGUGGCGCACGGGUGCGUAACGCGUGGGAACCUGCCCUUAGGUUCGGAAUAACUCCCCGAAAGGGGUGCUAAUACCGGAUAAUGUCUUCGGACCAAAGAUUUAUCGCCUUUGGAUGGGCCCGCGUUGGAUUAGCUAGUUGGUAGGGUAAAAGCCUACCAAGGCGACGAUCCAUAGCUGGUCUGAGAGGAUGAUCAGCCACAUUGGGACUGAGACACGGCCCAGACUCCUACGGGAGGCAGCAGUGGGGAAUAUUGCACAAUGGGCGAAAGCCUGAUCCAGCAAUGCCGCGUGAAUGAUGAAGGCCUUAGGGUUGUAAAACUCUUUUACCCGGGAUGAUAAUGACAGUACCGGGAGAAGAAGCCCCGGCUAACUCCGUG